Molecule: long non-coding RNA, 1230 nt
Organism: Tigriopus californicus
Lineage: Eukaryota; Metazoa; Arthropoda; Copepoda; Harpacticoida; Harpacticidae
Exons: 3
Source: RefSeq, a predicted model, not a curated record
UGAGCGUCCUUUGUCCCGUGAGUAACUUGCAUCCAAUCUUAGUGCUCAUCGCAAACGCCAGUUCUUCGAGUGACUGACUGACACCUUAUUGAAGGAGUAGGAAAGUUGGGAGUGAAAUUUGACUGAAGGUCUUUGUUCCCGUCGGGUGACAUUGGCAAACCGACAAAAUGGAAACCCCGUCUUGUUGUUCAUGUCGCGUCUUAAAUGGUGCAUCAUUGAGAAGCUUUCCCCGUUGUCUGGAGAGUAACAACCGGUCAGUCUUGGCCUUAGUUUGGAUGCAGAGCACUAUUGCCUCCACAAGGGGCUUUUUUAUUCCAAUAUCGCUAAGAACCAACUAGGGAUUGGAUCCCAGCCCACCGACAAUGUCUUUCCACCGAGUGAUGGGGGAUCCAAUGAUGCAGCAGGUGAUUUAGAGUCUGGUCACAGAGUUCUCACCUCGUCCUCGUCGAAGUCGCCGUCUUCGCAAAGGCUUGUCUGGAAUUCAUGAGAUCCAUUUGACCAAGAUCAAGGCCGAGAGCAAUCUAGCCAAUCAUUGAUCUUCAAUUUGGAACUGCUUUCGACUCCUUGGACACACACCACGCGGACCGGAGUUUGGUGCAUUAGCAUACUGUACCUUCCAGGUGAAUUACGUGCUUCAGGAUUUGUUCCCAUAUUGGAUUAUUGCUCCCUCUGUAAAGUAUACGAGUGUGUUCUUAUUAAUGUGAAUGUGCUAAAGCACCAUAUCUUCACGGCCAUCAAAGAGGCCCUUCUUUCAAGACCUUUUCCUCACCUUGAGUGGAAUAUCAAAACCGAUCAGCAUUGUCAGGCCAAGCAGGGACCAGGAGCACCAAUCAAACGGAUCCUAUCACUCCCAAUCGCGGUCUUGGCCAAAAAGGUUUUCUACAUUAAAUGGUUGCUCACCCAAGAAAAACGAGCCUCGGUCGUGUCAACAUGAAUAAAAGGCCGAACAGCCUCACCUCGUGUCGACAAGGUCGAAAGGGAGCACCUGCAUUGGCCAGAUCACAUUCUCAAGGCUGCUGUUACCAACACCACCAUCUUCACCACCACCACUGGCAUGUGAGUGUCGUCCUUGUGGUCUUUCUCUCGUUCUUUACCUCGACAACAGUCUCAGACGGCGAGUCGACUACCGUUACAACCCAAACCAUUGGAAUCGUAGGUGGCAAUGCAGAUUUGUUUUGCAACACUACGGCUUCGUCUCCCAGUCAUCCAGUGAUCCUGGUGAUUUGGUAU